ACCUUCACCACGCACCCUUCCCCACCUUCGGACAUUUUCUCUCCUCGCUGCUAGCCGAGACUGCGGAACACCACGUGACUGGAGAACAGAACAGCUCCACACUGCUGCCU
Long non-coding RNA from Nanorana parkeri, 110 nucleotides. RefSeq lists it as uncharacterized. Lineage: Eukaryota; Metazoa; Chordata; Amphibia; Anura; Dicroglossidae. The transcript has 3 exons. The record is from RefSeq and is a predicted model, not a curated record.